This 253-nucleotide ribosomal RNA is filed under the name uncultured bacterium. RNAcentral's name for it is "partial 16S ribosomal RNA". It matches the Rfam family "Bacterial small subunit ribosomal RNA", at positions 524 to 776 of the family's 1533-position model. The record is from RNAcentral.
UACAGAGGUCUCAAGCGUUGUUCGGAUUCAUUGGGCGUAAAGGGUGCGUAGGUGGCGCAGUAAGUCGGGUGUGAAAUUUCGGAGCUUAACUCCGAAACUGCAUUCGAUACUGCCGUGCUUGAGGACUGGAGAGGAGACUGGAAUUUACGGUGUAGCAGUGAAAUGCGCAGAUAUCAGGAGGAACACCGGUGGCGAAGGCGGGUCUCUGGGCCGAAACUGACGCUGAGGAGCGAAAGCGUGGGGAGCGAACAGG